This 28-nucleotide small RNA is filed under the name Bombyx mori (domestic silkworm). RNAcentral describes it as "piRNA piR-bmo-1797301". The record is from RNAcentral. Lineage: Eukaryota; Metazoa; Arthropoda; Insecta; Lepidoptera; Bombycidae.
UGACUUGUCUGUGUGUCUGCCUACCACG